Molecule: long non-coding RNA, 2372 nt
Organism: Macrobrachium nipponense
Lineage: Eukaryota; Metazoa; Arthropoda; Malacostraca; Decapoda; Palaemonidae
Exons: 3
Source: RefSeq, a predicted model, not a curated record
AGAGAGAGAGAGAGAGAGAGAGAGAGAGAGAGAGAGAGAGAGAGAGAGAGAGAGCUAGUGAUGACAUUCCAUGGUGAUUUUUUUUAAUUUGAAGUGAUACAGAAAACAACUUCUUAUGAAAUCACCCAUGGAAGAUCAAUAAGGGAGAAAUUUGCCCAUUUGCUAAUAAGUGAAAUUUCAACUUAAUUAAAGAUGAAAACGUAGGAAGAUCCCUGGAAAUCCUUAUUCCAUACAAAUCGAUAUUUAACAUACGGUAUGAAACUCUGCAGUUAAUUCAUUUGGGCAGUAAAUGAAAGUAAUAGAAAGACCCAUAACAGUGAGUGCCCAGUUAGCAAAUUUAACUCAUCUUAUCUGCAGUACUAAAUACGAAUGACAUUUCCGAAUCUUCAAUAGCAAAUCUGGGUAAUGGCCAGAAAGCCAUCAUAAAGGAACUAGGAAUUUUCUUGGCCUUGUAUUCUUCACAUAAAUAAUAGGCUGCACCACACCAUGAAGGAAGGGUAUUAUAAUUCCUAUGGACUCUGAUACCUAUUUCGACAGUGGAGUCUGGCAACUGCCGUGAUCUGAGCUUAGAUGUCACUAGUAAGGAAAAAAGAGCCCUGUAAAACUCGAAACCAACGAUGGAAAAGUGAAUUGAAAAACCAAGUAAAACUUGAUAUUUAAACAUAUCUGUAUUUACAUUUUCUGUCUUUGUCACGCAGGAAAGUGAAGUGAAUUUUAAAGUUCCAAAAUUUAUUUUAUUUCAAGAGCAUUCGGCUACAUAGUUUUAUUUAAAGCUAUCCAUUUUUUUUAUUAUUGAAUGUGCCUUGGUACUGUUUUGGUGAUAUGAACGAAACCGGUUUUAUUCUGGGUCAAAAAAGAAAAAAACAAACAAAUAGAAGGGCAUGAAAACUAUAUAAUGUGGGUUAUGAGGAGCAAAACAGCGUAAAAUGUAAAUCAAGAGUGAUCCAGUGACAAAAACAAUAUCGACAUUUCAGAAAGAAAUUCCAUGUAAAGGUUAAGAAUAAGUAAGACAGAAUAAUUCAAAACAGCAAACAUGAAAACUGGAUUUAACUGAUGACCGAAGUAGAAAAGCAGAACAUGAAGGGAAAAACAAAUACGAGUCAAGUGAAAUUGCAAUGAAUGUAUUGAACAAAAGAAUAGAAGGUUUGUAUGGGAUUAAGUAUGAAAAUUCUCAGUAAAGAUGGGAGAACAGAAAUCAUAGGCCCGAAAAGCAAAAUGGUCGACUUGGCAAAAUAAAAAAAGGCAUCUAGAAUUAGGUGGAAAAAUGAGAAUAUCCAGAGAAGAAUAGCAUAACUUGCAAUUUAUGAUCCGGAUAGAAGUUCCUGAAAUACGACAAUAUAUUGUGUCUUGUGCCAAUUAGAGUUGCAAAGUUGUUGGUUGAACCUGUUCUGAAUAUUAUUAAUAAUGAAUUAUUCGUGUGUUGGACGAAUUAAAACUUGCUCUUAUCCUUUCAAAGGGAAAAUUCAAAUGUGACGACUUCAUUGAGUAAAUCGUCUGUUUAUUCUGUACAAAAACAUUGUGCCUUUUCUGAAAGGCUGUGUUUGCUAUAACAUGUGAAUGGUUACCAAAAAGGAAAUAAUAUUGUUAAAAAAACACUUUUGCAAUUGAUUGAUAAUAUAAUCACCAAAACUCUGAACUUUGAAACUGACAGUCACGAACUGGAGGACAGCUAAAAGCAACGGUUAAUUAUCGUAAUCAUUACAAAAUAUAAUUUCACUAAAUAUGGCUAUGUAUCAUAACCUUAGUGUUCCGAGCCCAGGUUUGGGACAGCAAAACACUUUGCAGUACCUGUUGCACAACAUAACGAUUCCUUAUUCAGAGACCAGUUGGGACGACAGCAACAUUGAACGACUGAUCAACUUGACCUUCUCAGAAAACUCUCAAGUAUUCGAGGACUUGGGAGGAAUGCGUGAGAACACCGGGGAUCCGGAAGGACCCAACUCAACGACGGGGACAUUCCUAUACGAGGUGCCAACAGGGAUCGUUGUCCUUUUGUCGAUCUUCUACGGGACGAUUUCCCUUGUGGCUGUCGUGGGAAACGCUCUCGUCAUGUGGAUUGUGGCGACGUCGAGGAAGAUGCAUUCGGUCACCAAUUACUUCAUCGCUAAUUUGGCAUUGGCGAUAUCAUCAUAGGUCUGUUUGCAAUACCUUUCCAGUUCCAGGCAGCUCUUCUGCAACGCCUGGAAACCUCCCAGAAUUCAUGUGCGCCUUCUGCCCGUUCUUCCAGACCGUAAGCGUCAACGUGUCGAUAUUCACGCUAACAGCCAUUGCAGUGGACCGUUACAGAGCCAUCGUCUUCCCGCUAAACGCCAGACCUUCAAAAUUUAGGAGUAAGCUGGUGAUUGCAUCUAUCUGGGUAUUUAGCACGACAC